This 442-nucleotide ribosomal RNA is filed under the name uncultured Actinomycetales bacterium. RNAcentral describes it as "bacterial SSU rRNA". It matches the Rfam family "Bacterial small subunit ribosomal RNA", at positions 341 to 792 of the family's 1533-position model. The record is from RNAcentral. Lineage: Bacteria; Bacillati; Actinomycetota; Actinomycetes; Actinomycetales.
ACGGGAGGCAGCAGUGGGGAAUAUUGCACAAUGGGCGCAAGCCUGAUGCAGCGACGCCGCGUGAGGGAUGACGGCCUUCGGGUUGUAAACCUCUUUCAGCAGGGAAGAAGCCUUUUGGGUGACGGUACCUGCAGAAGAAGCACCGGCUAACUACGUGCCAGCAGCCGCGGUAAUACGUAGGGUGCGAGCGUUGUCCGGAAUUAUUGGGCGUAAAGAGCUUGUAGGCGGUUUGUCGCGUCUGCUGUGAAAAUCCGGGGCUCAACCCCGGACUUGCAGUGGGUACGGGCAGACUGGAGUGUGGUAGGGGAGACUGGAAUUCCUGGUGUAGCGGUGGAAUGCGCAGAUAUCAGGAGGAACACCGAUGGCGAAGGCAGGUCUCUGGGCCACUACUGACGCUGAGAAGCGAAAGCAUGGGGAGCGAACAGGAUUAGAUACCCUGGUA